AUGUAUCUCAUACAUAUACCUACAUCAUGGAUAAUCAAUGGUAAGAAUAAUUAAGUAGAGAUAACCUUCUCUGGCAGCUACAUUAAAUGGACGAUACACACAUAAAGUGUGUACCAAGGCAAGUAUCUCAAUGGUCCUUUUUCUAUGCCCACAAAAAGUAGCUUGGCCAUAUAUUCUUGAAGAUAAGAGUCACAGAUUGGAUAUGACUCCGUAGUCAC
This 218-nucleotide long non-coding RNA is filed under the name Elaeis guineensis (African oil palm). Its description in RNAcentral is "long non-coding RNA (EGUI_LNC053553)". Lineage: Eukaryota; Viridiplantae; Streptophyta; Magnoliopsida; Arecales; Arecaceae. The record is from RNAcentral.